GAUGAACGCUAGCGGCAGGCCUAAUACAUGCAAGCCGAACGGCAAGUUUUGUAGCAAUACGGAACCUAGAGUGGCGUAAGGGUGCGUAACACGUAUGCAAUCUGCCCUCGAACAGGAGGAUAGCUCCCGAAAGGGGAUUAAGCCUCAUGGGAUCGUAGGAGGCAUCUUCCAGCGAUUAAAUUACAAGAGGUUGAGGAUGAGCAUGCGCAUGAUUAGAGUUGGCGGGGUAACGCCACAAGACGAUGAUCAUUAGGGGAACUGAGAGGUU
RNAcentral lists this ribosomal RNA (268 nucleotides) under uncultured bacterium. RNAcentral describes it as "partial 16S ribosomal RNA". It matches the Rfam family "Bacterial small subunit ribosomal RNA", at positions 28 to 301 of the family's 1533-position model. The record is from RNAcentral.